RNAcentral lists this non-coding RNA (178 nucleotides) under Planctomycetota bacterium. RNAcentral's name for it is "Planctomycetes bacterium (bioreactor metagenome) 6S RNA". It matches the Rfam family "6S / SsrS RNA". From Rfam's summary of the family: E. coli 6S RNA was the first non coding RNA to be sequenced, but its function was unknown until recently. It consists of 184 nucleotides that fold into an extended hairpin structure with a large single-stranded internal bulge. Lineage: Bacteria; Pseudomonadati; Planctomycetota. The record is from RNAcentral. RNAcentral also lists the same sequence under 3 other names.
AAGGCUCUGCGGUGUUCGUGUUAGGAGUUGAUAUCUUUGUAACCUAGAAGUGUUAUCUGGGAACCUAGAUUUGUUCUCUGUCGUCUUUAUGUAAAAGUAAAGCGCGGUUAACAAUCGGUGCCCCCCUUGAAUAGAGGGUCACAAGAUAGAUCUUCUCACGGCACAAGGUAGAGCCUUU